GUGGUUUUUGUUUUUGUUUUUGUUUUUGUUUGCUGCUGUUUUGGCUUUUUUUGUCUGUUUGUUUUAAAUAUGUAAUGUUCUCAUGCUAGUCACUUUUAAUUAUGCUAAUUUCAGGCUCACGGCCCAUCAGGAAGGCUAAUUCCCCGCUCGGGGCCGCAGAGGCAGGGUCCCCCGGGGCAGGGCGAGCCCCCGGCCCCCUGUCGCUCCCUCCGCAGUCACUAGAUGUCCCCAUCGUCCUUCGCAACCCCCUCCCGUCCCCAAACUCCCUCCAAACCCAGCGCCUUGUCCCGCCCUGUGCUGGCCCCGUCCGUCUGUCCAUCCCUCCAUCCGUCCGUCCGUCCGUCCAUGCAUUCGAUGGGCUGUGCUCGGGGAGUUUUGGGGUACCCUAAACCGGCGAGGAGGGGGUACCCCAAAACCCGAGGCGCGGGCAAUGUUUGGGUGUUUCAAGGGGUAAUGGUUUUGGACUAAAAAGGGUAGAUUCAGGUUACAAAUCAGGAAGAAAUGAUACAUUAUGGGGGCGGUGAAGCCCUGUCCCCGUCUUCCCCCAGGAGCUGUGGGUGCCCCAUCCCUGGCAGUGCCCAAGGCCAGGCUGGGUGGCACUUUGAGUCUGCGGAUGCCUCUCAGGAGCCCAGCACUGCGUCCCACUGCAGGGUUGGGUUGUCCCACCAGCAUCAAGACCUUCUCGGAGACACCCUGGCCCAUCUGGGCACUCGUGCACGGCCAGGCUGGCUACCAGCCCCCUGCACCCCUGCCCUCGGUCCCACCACACGCUCUGGUUAUGCUGCUUGCACCCGGGGAGGAGGGUCCCAGCACAGCCCAGGCUCAGGCUGCAGCUGGCCUGACCCAGCACAUUUGAUCGUGCUGGGCUGGUGUUUCGCAACAGGAGGAUGUUUUCCAGGGAAAGUCCCCGGUGGCCCCAGACCUCUCCAGUGGCAGCUGGCGCCCGUGCAGAGCUUGGGGUGGAAGGAUUUGCAAGGAAGGUCAGGGUCUGGGUGCAAUUCCCCUGCUCCCUUGUUCAACAGCAGAGCUCUGCUGAGAGGGUUAUUUGUGCUUCCACUUCAAAAAGAAAAAAGAAAAAAAAAAAAAAAAGAAAGGAAAGAAAAAAAAAAAAGCAAGAAAGAAAGAAAAAAAAAAGCAGCUGUGGAUCUUAAUUCACUGUGCUAUGCAUCAAGCCUGAGGCCUCCAUCUGCAGGCUCUCCAGACCCAGAGACCCACGGGAGGAGCACCUUCCCUGCAUGACCGGACACAGCAGCUCACAGCCUGCGCCCACGGCACCCCAGCGGUACCUGCUUCUGCAGACCAGCCUUCCUUCUCCACCCUUCGGGCUCCUGCUGCUUUACAAUGCAUUUCGUGGCUUUUCUGUGUAAACGCAAUAAAAGCUCUUGCUGUCAGACCA
Molecule: long non-coding RNA, 1396 nt
Filed under: Anas platyrhynchos platyrhynchos (common mallard)
Lineage: Eukaryota; Metazoa; Chordata; Aves; Anseriformes; Anatidae
Description: lncRNA (ENSAPLG00000022379.1)
Source: RNAcentral